Molecule: transfer RNA, 71 nt
Filed under: Streptomyces sp. GKU 895
Lineage: Bacteria; Bacillati; Actinomycetota; Actinomycetes; Kitasatosporales; Streptomycetaceae
Description: tRNA-Glu
Rfam family: tRNA
About the family: Transfer RNA (tRNA) molecules are approximately 80 nucleotides in length.
Source: RNAcentral
GGUCCCGUAGAGCAGAGGCAGACUCGCGCCCUCUCAAGGCGGAUACGCCGGUUCGAAUCCGGUCGGGACCA